UACGGAGGGGGCUAGCGUUGUUCGGAAUUACUGGGCGUAAAGCGCACGUAGGCGGAUCAGAAAGUUAGGGGUGAAAUCCCAGGGCUCAACCCUGGAACUGCCUCUAAAACUCCUGGUCUUGAGUUCGAGAGAGGUGAGUGGAAUUCCGAGUGUAGAGGUGAAAUUCGUAGAUAUUCGGAGGAACACCAGUGGCGAAGGCGGCUCACUGGCUCGAUACUGACGCUGAGGUGCGAAAGCGUGGGGAGCAAACAGG
This 253-nucleotide ribosomal RNA is filed under the name uncultured bacterium. RNAcentral describes it as "partial 16S ribosomal RNA". It matches the Rfam family "Bacterial small subunit ribosomal RNA", at positions 524 to 776 of the family's 1533-position model. The record is from RNAcentral.